CUCCUGAAGAUCCCUGAUCCCAAAUUCCCACUCUUUCUUCCCAAAAAUCCUGUAAUCCCAAAUUCCUGCUGUUUGUUCCCAAAAAUCCCGUGAUCUCAAAUUCCUCCUCUUUCUUCCCGAAGAUCCCACAAUCCCAAAUUCCCGCUCUUUCUUCCCAAAAAUCCUGCGAUCCCAAAUUCCUGCUGUUUUUUCUCGAAGAUCCCCUGAUCCCAAAUUCCUCCUCUUCCUUCCCAAAGAUCCGGUGAUCCCAAAUUCCCAGUUUCAUCCCGAAGAUCCUCUUAUCCCAAAUUCCCUCUGUUUUAUCCCGAAUAUCCCCCGAUCCCAAAUUCCUCCUCUUUCAUCCCAAAGAUCCCAAAUUCCUGCUGUUUGUUCCCAAAAAUCCCCUGAUCCCAAAUUCCCGCCGUUCCAUCCUGAGUAUCCCAAAUAUCCCGAAUAUCCCAAAUUCCAGAAUAUCCCAAAUAUCCCAAAUAUCCCGUGAUCCCAAAUAUCCCAAAUAUCCCAAAUAUCCCAAAUCUCAUCCCAUUCCCGUCCCCAGCUGCUGUCCAACGUGGCGCUGCGCGCCUGCACGGUGGCGGCCAUGUUGGGCGCCAUGUCGUACGUGAUGGCCGACCGGAAGCACUGGAAGCCGUUCCUCCUAGAUUCCCAUUCCAUCCCAAAUCUCCCAAAUUCCUGAGUAUCCCAUUAUCCCAAAUAUCCCAAAUCUGGGCCCAUUCCCGUCCCCAGCUGCUGUCCAACGUGGCGCUGCGCGCCUGCGCGGUGGCGGCCAUGUUGGGCUCCAUGUCGUACGGGAUGGCCACCCGGAAGCACCGGAAGCCGUUCCUCCUAGAUUCCCGUUCCAUCCCAAGUAUCCCAAACAUCCCAAAUGUCCCAAAUAUCCCAAAUUUCGGCCCAUUCCCGUCCCCAGCUGCUGUCCAACGUGGCGCUGUACGCCUGCGCGGUGGCGGUGGGCGCCAUGUCGUACGUGAUGGCGGACCGGAAGCACCGGAAGGCGUUCCUGGAGGCGCGGCAGUCGCUGGAGGUCAAACUGAACCUGGAGGAGCAGAGCCAGCAGCAGGAGCGGCUGAUGCUGUCCAUCCUGCCCAAGCACGUGGCCGACGAGAUGCUGAAGGACAUGAAGAAGGACCCGAGCCAGAAGGAGCUGCAGCAGUUCAACACCAUGUACAUGUACCGCCACGAGAACGUCAGCAUCCUGUUUGCCGACAUCGUGGGCUUCACGCAGCUCUCGUCGUCCUGCAGCGCCCAGGAGCUCGUCAAGCUCCUCAACGAGCUCUUCGCCCGCUUCGACAAGCUGGCCGCCGUGAGUGCCCCCCGGAAUUCCCGGAAUUCCCGGGAUUCCCAAAAAAAAAUCCGGGUUUUGGGGGCGAGGAGGUCGGGGAAGUGCGGGGGGGAUGGAGGAGUCCCGGCUGGGAUGGGUGGGAAGUGGGGAAUGCGAGAGGGUUGGGGUUGGGAUUUGGGCGGGAUUGUGGGAGUUGUCCGGGAUUAUUCGGGAUUUUCCGGGAAUUCCGGGUGGGCAGAAGCAUCACCAGCUGCGGAUCAAGAUCCUGGGGGAUUGCUACUACUGCAUCUGCGGGCUGCCGGAAUUCCGGGAGGAUCACGCCGCCUGCUCCAUCCGGAUGGGGCUGGCCAUGGUGGAGGCCAUCGCGUAAGGAAGGGCGGGAAUUGGGGAGGG
This is a long non-coding RNA of Serinus canaria (Common canary), 1669 nucleotides long. Ensembl annotates it as adenylate cyclase type 3-like. Lineage: Eukaryota; Metazoa; Chordata; Aves; Passeriformes; Fringillidae. The record is from Ensembl.